AUUGAACGCUGGCGGCAUGCUUUACACAUGCAAGUCGAACGGCAGCGCGGGGCAACCUGGCGGCGAGUGGCGAACGGGUGAGUAAUAUAUCGGAACGUACCCAGAAGUGGGGGAUAACGUAGCGAAAGUUACGCUAAUACCGCAUACGAUCUACGGAUGAAAGUGGGGGACCUUCGGGCCUCAUGCUUUUGGAGCGGCCGAUAUCUGAUUAGCUAGUUGGUGAGGUAAAGGCUCACCAAGGCGACGAUCAGUAGCUGGUCUGAGAGGACGACCAGCCACACUGGGACUGAGACACGGCCCAGACUCCUACGGGAGGCAGCAGUGGGGAAUUUUGGACAAUGGGGGGCAACCCUGAUCCAGCAAUGCCGCGUGAGUGAAGAAGGCCUUCGGGUUG
This 394-nucleotide ribosomal RNA is filed under the name uncultured bacterium. Its description in RNAcentral is "bacterial SSU rRNA". It matches the Rfam family "Bacterial small subunit ribosomal RNA", at positions 30 to 425 of the family's 1533-position model. The record is from RNAcentral.